This 495-nucleotide unclassified non-coding RNA is filed under the name Hevea brasiliensis (rubber tree). Lineage: Eukaryota; Viridiplantae; Streptophyta; Magnoliopsida; Malpighiales; Euphorbiaceae. The record is from RNAcentral.
AUUUAUUUGUACAUAUAUGUCUUAUUUGUACAUAUAGUAAUAAUUAAAAGAAGAAAAUUGCUUAAAGUCAAGAUAUUCGAUUUGUGAAAGAAAGAGUUUGAAAAUGGAGUUCGAGGAGAUGGCCAAUUUUUUGAUAAGCAGAGCCGGUUUGAAGCACGUUUGGGCUCAUGCUUGAACUUCAAGAGAACCUCUCAUUGAUUUUUAAGCAAUGUCUAUUGUUCAGUUUGGUGGUUAGUUGAGUUUGGCAUUAGGUAGUGUUAUUAGAUCUUUUGUUUGUUUUAAAGUUGUAGCAAAUGAGUUUCACUACCCCAAAGAAAUAGUGAUUUAUCUAGCUAGGAAGCCAUAAUUUCUUAUUAGUUCUGCGUUUUAUCAUUUAUCUAAGGCCCAUUUUGAAAGAAAUAAAAAAAGGAAUAAACUUUGCUAACAAUACUUGUAUUUCACUUUAUGAUAGGAUGAAUAGAUUUGUUGAUUUCUAAUGGAUUUGUGAGUUAUAUG